Molecule: long non-coding RNA, 656 nt
Organism: Anopheles nili
Lineage: Eukaryota; Metazoa; Arthropoda; Insecta; Diptera; Culicidae
Exons: 3
Source: RefSeq, a predicted model, not a curated record
GUGUCCAACGGGCUGCGCACAACGCAAGCCACGUACGCGCGUACGCCACAACGUGAUCGCGCUUGGUGCGUUUCUACGCGCGACCACAACGCUGCAUUCGGGUUCUUCUGACUUCCCCGUGCAGGCGAGUGAAACGGCAGCAUUGUGAAGGAGUGAGUGAGAGUUAGCGUGAAACAGAGAGAAGAAAAGAAAAAGCACAUCGGAAAGAAAAAGUUUUUGGCCGCCCCGUAGUGUCUACGGUAGAAUAUCGCUCACACUAAUCUGGCUGGCAAACAGUGGCACUGGCGGUGGCGAAAAAGGAAAAGUGUAGCGUAAGAGCAUCGGCGCGGAAAAUCAGUGCCCCGUAGUUCCGUAGACAGUGGCCAGCAGCGGAGGUGGUCAAGAUCGGGGGCCUGGCGAAAAUGCGCCUGGCGUCUUCAAGUGCAGCAGCAGCAGCAGCAGCAGCAACCGACCGCAACACCCAACCGCAGCAAAGUACGUUGGCCAAACGGGCCACGGAAAACGCCGCCACCGUAGCAGGAACGCCGCAAGCACACAAACCGUAGCAUCGCAAGUAAUGAAGCAUCCCUCAACCAAACCGCCAUCCCAACGCAUCGGCGGAAGAAUAACCCGUACAUAAAAGAACCACGGCUGGCAGACAUCGCUUCCCGUAUAUU